AGGCAGCAGUGGGGAAUAUUGCACAAUGGGCGCAAGCCUGAUGCAGCCAUGCCGCGUGUGUGAAGAAGGCCUUCGGGUUGUAAAGCACUUUCAGCAGUGAGGAAGGCGGGUACGUUAAUAGCGUAUUCGUUUGACGUUAGCUGCAGAAGAAGCACCGGCUAACUCCGUGCCAGCAGCCGCGGUAAUACGGAGGGUGCGAGCGUUAAUCGGAAUUACUGGGCGUAAAGCGCAUGCAGGUGGUUCGUUAAGUCAGAUGUGAAAGCCCGGGGCUCAACCUCGGAACUGCAUUUGAAACUGGCGGACUAGAGUACUGUAGAGGGGGGUAGAAUUUCAGGUGUAGCGGUGAAAUGCGUAGAGAUCUGAAGGAAUACCGGUGGCGAAGGCGGCCCCCUGGACAGAUACUGACACUCAGAUGCGAAAGCGUGGGGAGCAAACAGGAUUAGAUACCCUGGUAGUCCACGCCGUAAACGAUGUCUACUUGGAGGUUGUGGCCUUGAGCCGUGGCUUUCGGAGCUAACGCGUUAAGUAGACCGCCUGGGGAGUACGGUCGCAAGAUUAAAACUCAAAUGAAUUGACGGGGGCCCGCACAAGCGGUGGAGCAUGUGGUUUAAUUCGAUGCAACGCGAAGAACCUUACCUACUCUUGACAUCCAGAGAAGCCAGCGGAGACGCAGGUGUGCC
Molecule: ribosomal RNA, 680 nt
Filed under: Vibrio sp.
Lineage: Bacteria; Pseudomonadati; Pseudomonadota; Gammaproteobacteria; Vibrionales; Vibrionaceae
Description: bacterial SSU rRNA
Rfam family: Bacterial small subunit ribosomal RNA
Source: RNAcentral